Molecule: ribosomal RNA, 513 nt
Filed under: uncultured bacterium
Lineage: Bacteria
Description: bacterial SSU rRNA
Rfam family: Bacterial small subunit ribosomal RNA
Source: RNAcentral
GAGAGUUUGAUCCUGGCUCAGGAUUAACGCUGGCGGCGUGCCUAAUGCAUGCAAGUCGAACGUGGCCCCUUUGGGGGACAACGUGGCGGACGGGUGAGGAACACGUGGGGAACCUGCCCAUCGGUGGGGGGUAGCCCGCGGAAACGCGGGGUAAUUCCGCAUGAGCUGGUCUGGGGGUAGCCCAGAUCAGGAAAGGGUCUUCGGACUCGCCGAUGGAGGGGCCUGCGUCCGAUUAGCUUGUUGGUGGGGUAACGGCCUACCAAGGCGAUGAUCGGUAGCUGGUCUGAGAGGACGGCCAGCCACAGGGGGACUGAGACACGGCCCCCACUCCUACGGGAGGCAGCAGCAAGGAGUUUUCCGCAAUGGGCGAAAGCCUGACGGAGCAACGCCGCGUGGGGGAUGACACCUUUCGGGGCGUAAACCCCUUUUCUUGGGGACGAAGCAGUGACGGUACCCGAGGAAGAAGGCCCGGCUAACUACGUGCCAGCAGCCGCGGUAAUACGUAGGGGCCGA